UUCACAGGCUCCGACACACAUAAAUUAUAUGAAAAAUAAGAUGUAAACUUAUGAUCAGGAUAAAAUCC
Nothoprocta perdicaria is the source of this 68-nucleotide long non-coding RNA. RefSeq lists it as uncharacterized. The record is from RefSeq and is a predicted model, not a curated record. NCBI's taxonomy places the organism in Eukaryota, Metazoa, Chordata, Aves, Tinamiformes, Tinamidae. The transcript has 2 exons.